RNAcentral lists this ribosomal RNA (719 nucleotides) under Staphylococcus aureus. RNAcentral's name for it is "partial 23S ribosomal RNA". It matches the Rfam family "Bacterial large subunit ribosomal RNA", at positions 807 to 1528 of the family's 2925-position model. The record is from RNAcentral. Lineage: Bacteria; Bacillati; Bacillota; Bacilli; Caryophanales; Staphylococcaceae.
AACUGAGGGUAGCGGAGAAAUUCCAAUCGAACCUGGAGAUAGCUGGUUCUCUCCGAAAUAGCUUUAGGGCUAGCCUCAAGUGAUGAUUAUUGGAGGUAGAGCACUGUUUGGACGAGGGGCCCCUCUCGGGUUACCGAAUUCAGACAAACUCCGAAUGCCAAUUAAUUUAACUUGGGAGUCAGAACAUGGGUGAUAAGGUCCGUGUUCGAAAGGGAAACAGCCCAGACCACCAGCUAAGGUCCCAAAAUAUAUGUUAAGUGGAAAAGGAUGUGGCGUUGCCCAGACAACUAGGAUGUUGGCUUAGAAGCAGCCAUCAUUUAAAGAGUGCGUAAUAGCUCACUAGUCGAGUGACACUGCGCCGAAAAUGUACCGGGGCUAAACAUAUUACCGAAGCUGUGGAUUGUCCUUUGGACAAUGGUAGGAGAGCGUUCUAAGGGCGUUGAAGCAUGAUCGUAAGGACAUGUGGAGCGCUUAGAAGUGAGAAUGCCGGUGUGAGUAGCGAAAGACGGGUGAGAAUCCCGUCCACCGAUUGACUAAGGUUUCCAGAGGAAGGCUCGUCCGCUCUGGGUUAGUCGGGUCCUAAGCUGAGGCCGACAGGCGUAGGCGAUGGAUAACAGGUUGAUAUUCCUGUACCACCUAUAAUCGUUUUAAUCGAUGGGGGGACGCAGUAGGAUAGGCGAAGCGUGCGAUUGGAUUGCACGUCUAAGCAGUAAGGCUGA